ACGACGUCAAGUCAUCAUGGCCCUUAUGUCCUGGGCUACACACGUGCUACAAUGGCCGGUACAGAGCGCAGCGAAGCCGCGAGGACAAAGCGAAUCGCAAAAAGCCGGUCCCAGUACGGAUUGGAGUCUGCAACCCGACUCCAUGAAGUUGGAAUCGCUAGUAAUCGCGGAUCAGCAUGCCGCGGUGAAUACGUUCCCGGGCCUU
RNAcentral lists this ribosomal RNA (205 nucleotides) under uncultured Spirochaeta sp. RNAcentral's name for it is "partial 16S ribosomal RNA". It matches the Rfam family "Bacterial small subunit ribosomal RNA", at positions 1179 to 1382 of the family's 1533-position model. The record is from RNAcentral. Lineage: Bacteria; Pseudomonadati; Spirochaetota; Spirochaetia; Spirochaetales; Spirochaetaceae.